This 1357-nucleotide ribosomal RNA is filed under the name Singara diversalis. RNAcentral's name for it is "16S ribosomal RNA". The record is from RNAcentral. Lineage: Eukaryota; Metazoa; Arthropoda; Insecta; Lepidoptera; Erebidae.
AUUUCCAAUUAAUUAUUAAAAAUAUUUAUACAACAAUAACUUUUAUAAUUAAUUAACUCUUUUAAAUUCGAGAAUUUCUUAAUUAAAAAAUUUUUUUAAUUAAGAAAUUCUCGAAUUUAAAAGAGUUAAUUAAUUAUAAAAGUUAUUGUUGUAUAAAUAUUUUUAAUAAUUAAUUGGAAAUGAUAUGUUAAUCGUUUUUAAAUAUAUCUAGUUUUUUUAGAAAAAAAUUUAAUUUUAAAUUUAUUUUAAUUAUUAAUUAAUUAAUUAAUUAAUAAUAAAUUUUAUAAAUAAUAAAAAUAUUUAUAAAUUUAUAAAUAAAUUUUAUAUUUUAAGGGAUAAGCUUUAAAUUAAAAAUAAUAUAAUAGAAAAAAGAAAUUGAAAAUUAUAUAAUUUAUAUUGUUAAUAAAUUAUAAUUUAUUAUAAAUAAUUUCAUUAAAAAUAAAAUUUAAUUUAAAUUUAUUUUUUUAUAAAAAAAUAAAUUUAAAUUAAAAAAAUUUAAUUAUAAUGAUAAAAUUAGUAUAUAAAAAAUUAAUUAUAGAAUGGAUUUAUAAAAAAAAAUAAAUUUAAAUUUUUUUAUUAGUUUACAAUAAAAUUAAAAAAUUAAUUAAUAGAGAGAAUUAUUUAUAAGGAAUUCGGCAAAUUUUUAUAUUCACUUGUUUAUCAAAAACAUGUCUUUUUGUUAAUAAUAUAAAGUCUAAUCUGCCCACUGAUUUUAAUUAAAGGGCUGCAGUAUAUUGACUGUACAAAGGUAGCAUAAUCAUUAGUCAUUUAAUUGAUGACUUGUAUGAAAGAUUGGAUGAAAUAUAUACUGUCUCUUAAAUAAAUUAUAGAAUUUAAUUUUUUAAUUAAAAAGUUAAAAUAAAUUAAAAAGACGAGAAGACCCUAUAGAGUUUUAUAUUUAAUUUUAUUUGAAUUAUUUAUAUAAAAAUAAAUUUAAAUUUAAUUAAAUAUUUUAUUGGGGUGAUGAAAAAAUAAAUUAAACUUUUUUUUAUUAUAUAACAUAUAUAAGUGAGUUUUUGAUCCAAUAUUAUUGAUUAUAAGAAAAAAUUACCUUAGGGAUAACAGCGUAAUUUUUUUUUUUAGUUCAAAUAAAAAAAAAAGUUUGCGACCUCGAUGUUGGAUUAAGAUAAAAGUUAAAUGCAGAAGUUUAAAUUUUUGAUCUGUUCGAUCAUUAAAAUCUUACAUGAUCUGAGUUCAAACCGGUGUGAGCCAGGUUGGUUUCUAUCUUUUAUAAAUUAAAAUAUUUUAGUACGAAAGGAUUAAAUAUUUAAAUUAAAUUUAAGUAAAUGAAUGUUAUUAAUAAUGAUAUAUAUAUAUAUAUAUAUAAAUUAAUUUAUUUAAUUUAAUAUUAAAUUUU